RNAcentral lists this ribosomal RNA (260 nucleotides) under uncultured bacterium. Its description in RNAcentral is "partial 16S ribosomal RNA". It matches the Rfam family "Bacterial small subunit ribosomal RNA", at positions 526 to 779 of the family's 1533-position model. The record is from RNAcentral.
CGUAGGUGGCGAGCGUUAUCCGGAUUUACUGGGCGGUAAAGGGACGUGUAGGCGGCUAGAUAAGUGUGAUGUUUAAAAUCCAAGGCUUAACCUUGGGGGUUCGAUUACAAAACUGUUUAGCUUGAGUGCUGGAGAGGAUAGUGGAAUUCCUAGUGUAGCGGUAAAAUGCGUAGAUAUUAGGAGGAACACCGGUGGCGAAGGCGGCUAUCUGGACAGUAACUGACGCUGAGGCGCGAAAAGCGUGGGGAGCAAACAGGAUU